CCUACGGGAGGCAGCAGUCGAGAAUCAUUCACAAUGGGGGAAACCCUGAUGGUGCGACGCCGCGUGGGGGAAUGAAGGUCUUCGGAUUGUAAACCCCUGUCAUGUGGGAGCAAAUUAAAAAGAUAGUACCACAAGAGGAAGAGACGGCUAACUCUGUGCCAGCAGCCGCGGUAAUACAGAGGUCUCAAGCGUUGUUCGGAAUCACUGGGCGUAAAGCGUGCGUAGGCUGUUUCGUAAGUCGUGUGUGAAAGGCGCGGGCUCAACCCGCGGACGGCACAUGAUACUGCGAGACUAGAGUAAUGGAGGGGGAACCGGAAUGCUCGGUGUAGAAGUGAAAUGCGGAGAUAUCGAGAGGAACACUCGUGGCGAAGGCGGGUUCCUGGACAUUAACUGACGCUGAGGCACGAAGGCCAGGGGAGCGAAAGGGAUUAGAUACCCUAGUAGUC
Molecule: ribosomal RNA, 446 nt
Filed under: uncultured bacterium
Lineage: Bacteria
Description: partial 16S ribosomal RNA
Rfam family: Bacterial small subunit ribosomal RNA
Source: RNAcentral